Molecule: ribosomal RNA, 2539 nt
Filed under: Escherichia coli
Lineage: Bacteria; Pseudomonadati; Pseudomonadota; Gammaproteobacteria; Enterobacterales; Enterobacteriaceae
Description: partial 23S ribosomal RNA
Rfam family: Bacterial large subunit ribosomal RNA
Source: RNAcentral
CGGGACACGUGGUAUCCUGUCUGAAUAUGGGGGGACCAUCCUCCAAGGCUAAAUACUCCUGACUGACCGAUAGUGAACCAGUACCGUGAGGGAAAGGCGAAAAGAACCCCGGCGAGGGGAGUGAAAAAGAACCUGAAACCGUGUACGUACAAGCAGUGGGAGCCUCUUAAUGGGGUGACUGCGUACCUUUUGUAUAAUGGGUCAGCGACUUAUAUUCUGUAGCAAGGUUAACCGAAUAGGGGAGCCGAAGGGAAACCGAGUCUUAACUGGGCGUUAAGUUGCAGGGUAUAGACCCGAAACCCGGUGAUCUAGCCAUGGGCAGGUUGAAGGUUGGGUAACACUAACUGGAGGACCGAACCGACUAAUGUUGAAAAAUUAGCGGAUGACUUGUGGCUGGGGGUGAAAGGCCAAUCAAACCGGGAGAUAGCUGGUUCUCCCCGAAAGCUAUUUAGGUAGCGCCUCGUGAAUUCAUCUCCGGGGGUAGAGCACUGUUUCGGCAAGGGGGUCAUCCCGACUUACCAACCCGAUGCAAACUGCGAAUACCGGAGAAUGUUAUCACGGGAGACACACGGCGGGUGCUAACGUCCGUCGUGAAGAGGGAAACAACCCAGACCGCCAGCUAAGGUCCCAAAGUCAUGGUUAAGUGGGAAACGAUGUGGGAAGGCCCAGACAGCCAGGAUGUUGGCUUAGAAGCAGCCAUCAUUUAAAGAAAGCGUAAUAGCUCACUGGUCGAGUCGGCCUGCGCGGAAGAUGUAACGGGGCUAAACCAUGCACCGAAGCUGCGGCAGCGACACUAUGUGUUGUUGGGUAGGGGAGCGUUCUGUAAGCCUGUGAAGGUGGCCUGUGAGGGUUGCUGGAGGUAUCAGAAGUGCGAAUGCUGACAUAAGUAACGAUAAAGCGGGUGAAAAGCCCGCUCGCCGGAAGACCAAGGGUUCCUGUCCAACGUUAAUCGGGGCAGGGUGAGUCGACCCCUAAGGCGAGGCCGAAAGGCGUAGUCGAUGGGAAACAGGUUAAUAUUCCUGUACUUGGUGUUACUGCGAAGGGGGGACGGAGAAGGCUAUGUUGGCCGGGCGACGGUUGUCCCGGUUUAAGCGUGUAGGCUGGUUUUCCAGGCAAAUCCGGAAAACCAAGGCUGAGGCGUGAUGACGAGGCACUACGGUGCUGAAGCGACAAAUGCCCUGCUUCCAGGAAAAGCCUCUAAGCAUCAGGUAACAUCAAAUCGUACCCCAAACCGACACAGGUGGUCAGGUAGAGAAUACCAAGGCGCUUGAGAGAACUCGGGUGAAGGAACUAGGCAAAAUGGUGCCGUAACUUCGGGAGAAGGCACGCUGAUAUGUAGGUGAAGCGACUUGCUCGUGGAGCUGAAAUCAGUCGAAGAUACCAGCUGGCUGCAACUGUUUAUUAAAAACACAGCACUGUGCAAACACGAAAGUGGACGUAUACGGUGUGACGCCUGCCCGGUGCCGGAAGGUUAAUUGAUGGGGUUAGCGGCAACGCGAAGCUCUUGAUCGAAGCCCCGGUAAACGGCGGCCGUAACUAUAACGGUCCUAAGGUAGCGAAAUUCCUUGUCGGGUAAGUUCCGACCUGCACGAAUGGCGUAAUGAUGGCCAGGCUGUCUCCACCCGAGACUCAGUGAAAUUGAACUCGCUGUGAAGAUGCAGUGUACCCGCGGCAAGACGGAAAGACCCCGUGAACCUUUACUAUAGCUUGACACUGAACAUUGAGCCUUGAUGUGUAGGAUAGGUGGGAGGCUUUGAAGUGUGGACGCCAGUCUGCAUGGAGCCGACCUUGAAAUACCACCCUUUAAUGUUUGAUGUUCUAACGUUGGCCCGUAAUCCGGGUUGCGGACAGUGUCUGGUGGGUAGUUUGACUGGGGCGGUCUCCUCCUAAAGAGUAACGGAGGAGCACGAAGGUUGGCUAAUCCUGGUCGGACAUCAGGAGGUUAGUGCAAUGGCAUAAGCCAGCUUGACUGCGAGCGUGACGGCGCGAGCAGGUGCGAAAGCAGGUCAUAGUGAUCCGGUGGUUCUGAAUGGAAGGGCCAUCGCUCAACGGAUAAAAGGUACUCCGGGGAUAACAGGCUGAUACCGCCCAAGAGUUCAUAUCGACGGCGGUGUUUGGCACCUCGAUGUCGGCUCAUCACAUCCUGGGGCUGAAGUAGGUCCCAAGGGUAUGGCUGUUCGCCAUUUAAAGUGGUACGCGAGCUGGGUUUAGAACGUCGUGAGACAGUUCGGUCCCUAUCUGCCGUGGGCGCUGGAGAACUGAGGGGGGCUGCUCCUAGUACGAGAGGACCGGAGUGGACGCAUCACUGGUGUUCGGGUUGUCAUGCCAAUGGCACUGCCCGGUAGCUAAAUGCGGAAGAGAUAAGUGCUGAAAGCAUCUAAGCACGAAACUUGCCCCGAGAUGAGUUCUCCCUGAGACUUAGAGUCUCCUGAAGGAACGUUGAAGACGACGACGUUGAUAGGCCGGGUGUGUAAGCGCAGCGAUGCGUUGAGCUAACCGGUACUAAUGAACCGUGAGGCUUAACCUUACAACGCCGAAG